This 492-nucleotide ribosomal RNA is filed under the name uncultured bacterium. RNAcentral's name for it is "partial 16S ribosomal RNA". It matches the Rfam family "Bacterial small subunit ribosomal RNA", at positions 29 to 507 of the family's 1533-position model. The record is from RNAcentral.
AGUGAACGCUGGCGGUAGGCCUAACACAUGCAAGUCGAACGGCAGCACAGUAAGAGCUUGCUCUUACGGGUGGCGAGUGGCGGACGGGUGAGGAAUACAUCGGAAUCUACUUUUUCGUGGGGGAUAACGUAGGGAAACUUACGCUAAUACCGCAUACGACCUACGGGUGAAAGCAGGGGAUCUUCUGACCUUGCGCGAUUGAAUGAGCCGAUGUCGGAUUAGCUAGUUGGCGGGUUAAAGGCCCACCAAGGCGACGAUCCGUAGCUGGUCUGAGAGGAUGAUCAGCCACACUGGAACUGAGACACGGUCCAGACUCCUACGGGAGGCAGCAGUGGGGAAUAUUGGACAAUGGGCGCAAGCCUGAUCCAGCCAUACCGCGUGGGUGAAGAAGGCCUUCGGGUUGUAAAGCCCUUUUGUUGGGAAAGAAAAGCAGCAGGUUAAUACCCCGCUGUUCUGACGGUACCCAAAGAAUAAGCACCGGCUAACUUCGUG